GCUGCGGUGUCCGAGCGGUUAAGGAGAUGGACUUGAAAUCCAUUGGGUAGAUCGUUAACCCACACAGGUUCGAAUCCUGUCCGCAGCG
Non-coding RNA from Colletes gigas, 88 nucleotides. The record is from the annotation of a RefSeq genome assembly. Lineage: Eukaryota; Metazoa; Arthropoda; Insecta; Hymenoptera; Colletidae.